AUUGAACGCUGGCGGCAUGCCUUACACAUGCAAGUCGAACGGUAACAGGUCUUCGGAUGCUGACGAGUGGCGAACGGGUGAGUAAUACAUCGGAACGUGCCCGAUCGUGGGGGAUAACGGAGUGAAAGCUUUGCUAAUACCGCAUACGAUCUACGGAUGAAAGCAGGGGACCGCAAGGCCUUGCGCGGACGGAGCGGCCGAUGGCAGAUUAGGUAGUUGGUGGGAUAAAAGCUUACCAAGCCGACGAUCUGUAGCUGGUCUGAGAGGACGACCAGCCACACUGGGACUGAGACACGGCCCAGACUCCUACGGGAGGCAGCAGUGGGGAAUUUUGGACAAUGGGCGCAAGCCUGAUCCAGCCAUGCCGCGUGCAGGAUGAAGGCCUUCGGGUUGUAAACUGCUUUUGUACGGAACGAAAAGACUCUUUCUAAUAAAGAGGGUCCAUGACGGUACCGUAAGAAUAAGCACCGGCUAACUACGUG
This 482-nucleotide ribosomal RNA is filed under the name uncultured bacterium. RNAcentral's name for it is "bacterial SSU rRNA". It matches the Rfam family "Bacterial small subunit ribosomal RNA", at positions 30 to 507 of the family's 1533-position model. The record is from RNAcentral.